This 394-nucleotide ribosomal RNA is filed under the name Clostridioides difficile. Its description in RNAcentral is "bacterial LSU rRNA". It matches the Rfam family "Bacterial large subunit ribosomal RNA", at positions 1 to 395 of the family's 2925-position model. Lineage: Bacteria; Bacillati; Bacillota; Clostridia; Peptostreptococcales; Peptostreptococcaceae. The record is from RNAcentral.
UGGUCAAGUUAUUAAGGGUGCAGGGCGGAUGCCUUGGCACUAGGAGCCGAUGAAGGACGUGAUAAGCUGCGAUAAGCUUCGGGGAGUUGCACGUAAACUUUGAUCCGAAGAUUUCCGAAUGAGGAAACUCACUUAGAGUAAUGUCUAAGUAUCAUUAAGUGAAUACAUAGCUUAAUGAGGGGAACUCAGGGAACUGAAACAUCUAAGUACCUGAAGGAAGAGAAAGAAAUUCGAUUCCGUAAGUAGCGGCGAGCGAACGCGGAUUAGCCAAAACCAAUAAAGUUUUCUUUAUUGGGGUUGCGGACAUAUCAUAACGAAGAGGUAUCGUAAUUGAAGAGGUUUGGAAAGACCCACCACAGAAGGUAAUAGUCCUGUAUGUUAAACGAGAAGACUU